Gadus morhua (Atlantic cod) is the source of this 1047-nucleotide long non-coding RNA. The record is from Ensembl. NCBI's taxonomy places the organism in Eukaryota, Metazoa, Chordata, Actinopteri, Gadiformes, Gadidae.
AUGGCGAAAUCAACGAAGAAAACGAAAUAUUACACACAUGAAGAAGCCCUCGCUUUGAUUUUGGCUUCAUCCGAGGACAGCGAAGACAGCCAAUAUGAUUCUGAGAUAGAGGAGAUGUUCAAGCAACAAUUGGACGAAGUCUUAGAUCGGUCAAUGUCUGAGGACAGUGAUGCGGAUUGGGAGCCGCAAAGCCAGACAGGCAGACCCCCGGCCCCCACUCCUACUGAAGGUGGUCGUGAGAGAUCCGGUAGUGUCUCAUCACAUGACAAUAUCUCAAUAUGGCCAUAUCAAAUGAAUGUGUGAAAAAAUUAUGUUUUGAAUCAUGGAGAAAGGUUUUAUAGUCACCAAAAUGCUUCAGUAAUGUUUCCAGUGUCACAGAAGUGAGUAAAUGCAUUUGGCACAAUUUGGCCAUUUUGGAGACAUUUUGGAGAGGUUUGGGCCGCCAGUGACCACACACCAUAAAAACUCCAUUAACUCCCAAAGCUUUAGGCCUAGAACUCCAAAUUUUUUUCCAGGUGUAGUUGGCAUGAUGUAGAAGGUAUUUGGCAUAUUGCCAUAUGCCUUACAUAAAGCACAUCCUAGUUAUUGUAGUUCAAAUAUGACCCAUUAUUUUCGAAGACAAAAAAAUUGCUUUAGAGCCAUGUCUGAACUGAUGUCAUUUAGGUUGUGUGUAUGACACAUGCCAAAUAAACAUAUCUACAGAAACUAGAGCUUGUCAGCUUUCAAAUGAAGUAUCAUACAUCCAUCUAGGACUUAGGGUUACUGUGUUAUAAGCUUUUCCAUUUGGGUAUGUGUUUAGGCGAAAAAAACCAAAAUACUGCCGGACCUUAACAGGUUAAAAGAGGCCUAUGUGUAGUCACCUUUGCAGGAGUGAAGAGAGUAUUGUGUUUAGAGAAAAGGAUAACAUGAACGUUAUGGCAUAUUUGGCUAUAACAUGUAAAAUUGUUAGGUUAGGUUACCAAUUUCUACAGGAUUUUGUGUUGGACCAUUUAAAAACAAAUGCAACUCAUACUGUUGGACCCAGAUAGACAGUGUUUAAAAUUUGAU